Pipra filicauda (Wire-tailed manakin) is the source of this 916-nucleotide long non-coding RNA. RefSeq lists it as uncharacterized. NCBI's taxonomy places the organism in Eukaryota, Metazoa, Chordata, Aves, Passeriformes, Pipridae. The transcript has 3 exons. The record is from RefSeq and is a predicted model, not a curated record.
UCACCAUAUGUUUAGUCCUGCUGGAGCUGGGGAUGUUUUGCCUACUAAUGCAUGUACCCCAUGAGUGAUUUUUUUCCAGCAUUUGCAAUGCCAGCAUUUUGAGGUGUCCCUGAAAAUAAAACUGAUUAAAAUCAUAGCAAAAACAUUCUACCUUCAACUUUGCCAUUUUAAUUGUGUUUUCCUAGAGGCAAGGAAAUGCACAAAGUCUUUCUCAGGCAGAAAAUUUCCUCCUUUCCACAUUCUCUAUUUCUGUCUUUUAGACCGAGAUCAGUGAAGAUGACAUCGAACCCAACUUUAAAAGGCUUUUUGGACAGCUAGCAGGAAGUGAUGCAGAGAUCUCAGCCUUUGAACUGCGCAGCAUCUUGAAUAAAAUCAUGGCUAAACGCCAAGAUAUUAAAUCAGAUGGCUUUAGUGUUGAGACAUGCAAAAUAAUGGUUGACCUGUUAGAUGUAUCCUUUAAGGCCGUUCCUAGGUGAUGUUCCUCUGCCUGUGCUGAAGUAGGUGAGCUGCCUUUGCUGCCUGGUGGGUCCGUCCUUAUGUAGUAAUGACACCUGAGGCGAAGAAGCUGGUUUUACCCUGGUUCCCCUGAAAAAGCAGGCCCUUGCUAUCACUGCUCACCAUGACACAUGCAUUCUCCCAGGCAGCAGGGAAAAUCCAUUAUCAGAUGUUACGAUCUGCUUUGAAACCUUCCCAGCUGUUGUGUGUUCUGGUUUAGCUGGGGACAAAGUGGUGUUUGUGCUGGGAAAAGGCAGCUGGCUCUCAGCAUGGAGUGGAUGGCCUUGGCUGUAGAGUUGUACGUGCAUAUCUUGGGUGCACUUCACCUCUCUGUUAUCUGGCUGGAGUUGUAAGAGCAUCAUAAAGCCAUGAGGACCUAGCAAAUGGAAAAUGAGGGAAACAAAUACAGGAAGCUGGGAGU